RNAcentral lists this ribosomal RNA (258 nucleotides) under uncultured bacterium. Its description in RNAcentral is "partial small subunit ribosomal RNA". It matches the Rfam family "Bacterial small subunit ribosomal RNA", at positions 26 to 285 of the family's 1533-position model. The record is from RNAcentral.
AGAAUCAACGCUGGCGGCGUGCCUAACACAUGCAAGUCGAACGAGAAAGUGGAGCAAUCCAUGAGUAAAGUGGCGACCGGGUGAGUAACACGUGACUAACCUACCUUCGAGUGGGGAUAACCUCGGGAAACCGGGCUAAUACCGCAUAAAAUCUUUGGAUCGGAAGAACUGGAGAUCAAUGGAGCAAUUCGCUUGAAGAGGGGGUCGCGGCUGAUUAGCUAGUUGGCGGGUAAUGGCCCACCAAGGCUUUGAUCGGUA